AUCAUAAGCUUGUACAUCUUAUAUGUCGAACUUUUGUGUUAUGAUGAAAGUCUUUAAGACUAUUUUAAAUCGAUAAAGGAGAAUUUAUCAUUUAAUCCUUAAAUGAGUUUGCGAUCAAAUGAUAUGCUGUUACUAGAAUGAUGGAUUUAUCAAAUGUAGGUCAUUGUGUGCCAUAUAAGUUGGUUAUCCUCUUGAUCAAGGAGCGUGGAGACACUGGUAUGGCAUGCAGGUAAAAUGUAGAAGUAUAUUUUAGUGAAUAUGACCAACUCCGAAGCACUCUGCUAUCAAGAGUUACUCUGAAGGGAUAUGGGUAUAAGUAUCCCUCCGAUCUGAGAUCACAACUUGCAAGCAACUCACUGUACUUUGAUGCCAGACUACCUAAAUUUUUAAUUCAGGGUCAGAAUAUUUCUAGGCAUAGUCAAGUACUUAUGAAGUCGGUGUGUGAGUCAACAUGAAAUUGAUCACUAAAAGGGAAUGGAGAGAAUACUUUUUCAAUUUAGUAAGACCUUGGCCAGGAUAGUUCUUGUGAGGAGUCAUGGGAUUUAUUAGGUUAAGACACAUAAUAAAUGCACUAUUAGGAGUCAAUAGUUUAAAAUUCUAAGUCAUCCUA
RNAcentral lists this long non-coding RNA (610 nucleotides) under Elaeis guineensis (African oil palm). RNAcentral describes it as "long non-coding RNA (EGUI_LNC060699)". The record is from RNAcentral. Lineage: Eukaryota; Viridiplantae; Streptophyta; Magnoliopsida; Arecales; Arecaceae.